RNAcentral lists this ribosomal RNA (808 nucleotides) under Xylaria sp. genotype 218. RNAcentral describes it as "eukaryotic LSU rRNA". The stretch from base 221 to 808 matches the Rfam family "Eukaryotic large subunit ribosomal RNA", at positions 1 to 599 of the family's 3401-position model. The record is from RNAcentral. Lineage: Eukaryota; Fungi; Ascomycota; Sordariomycetes; Xylariales; Xylariaceae.
UUGAACGCACAUUGCGCCCAUUAGUAUUCUAGUGGGCAUGCCUGUUCGAGCGUCAUUUCAACCCUUAAGCCCCUGUUGCUUAGCGUUGGGAGCCUACAGCCUGCUGUAGCUCCUUAAAGGUAGUGGCGGAGUCGGUUCACACUCUAGACGUAGUAAAAUCUUUAUCUCGCCUAUGGAUGAGCCGGCGCCUUGCCGUAAAACCCCUAAUCUUUCACAAGGUUGACCUCGGAUCAGGUAGGAAUACCCGCUGAACUUAAGCAUAUCAAUAAGCGGAGGAAAAGAAACCAACAGGGAUUGCCCUAGUAACGGCGAGUGAAGCGGCAACAGCUCAAAUUUGAAAUCUGGCCUUCGGGUCCGAGUUGUAAUUUGCAGAGGAUGCUUUGGGCGCGGUGCCUUCCGAGUUCCCUGGAACGGGACGCCUUAGAGGGUGAGAGCCCCGUACGGUUGGACACCAAGCCUCUGUAAAGCUCCUUCGACGAGUCGAGUAGUUUGGGAAUGCUGCUCUAAAUGGGAGGUAAAUUUCUUCUAAAGCUAAAUAUUGGCCAGAGACCGAUAGCGCACAAGUAGAGUGAUCGAAAGAUGAAAAGCACUUUGAAAAGAGGGUUAAAUAGCACGUGAAAUUGUUGAAAGGGAAGCGUUUGCGACCAGACCUUUUCCCAGCGGAUCAUCCGGUGUUCUCACCGGUGCACUUCGCUGGGUUGAGGCCAGCAUCGGUUUCCGCAGGGGGAUAAAAGCCUGGGGAACGUAGCUCCCUCGGGAGUGUUAUAGCCCCUCGCAUAAUACCCUUGCGGGGACCGAGGACCGCGCU